AAACGGGAAGCCGCUGCAAGUCCACCGCCUCAGCUACCCAGAUUGGGAUCUGCCCAGGCCUAUGACUGUGGCGAGGGCCCCGACGGGGCCAACACCAAGAAGUCCCACAAGGCCACUGUGCAUGUGCGGGUCAACGAUGUGAACGAGUUUGCCCCAGUGUUUGUGGAACGGCUGUACCGUGCGGCUGUGACAGAGGGGAAGCUGUACGAUCGCAUCCUUCGGGUGGAAGCCAUUGACGGUGACUGCUCCCCCCAGUACAGCCAGAUCUGCUACUAUGAGAUUCUCACACCCAACACCCCUUUCCUCAUUGACAAUGAUGGGAACAUUGAGAACACAGAGAAGCUGCAGUACAGUGGUGAGAGGCUCUAUAAGUUUACAGUGACAGCUUAUGACUGUGGGAAGAAGCGGGCAGCAGAUGAUGCUGAGGUGGAGAUUCAGGUGAAGCCCACCUGUAAACCCAGCUGGCAAGGCUGGAACAAAAGGAUCGAAUAUGCACCAGGUGCUGGGAGCUUGGCUUUGUUCCCUGGUAUCCGCCUGGAGACCUGUGAUGAACCACUCUGGAACAUUCAGGCCACCAUAGAGCUGCAGACCAGCCAUGUGGCCAAGGGCUGUGACCGUGACAACUACUCAGAGCGGGCGCUGCGGAAACUCUGUGGUGCUGCCACUGGGGA
Molecule: small RNA, 671 nt
Filed under: Pan troglodytes (chimpanzee)
Lineage: Eukaryota; Metazoa; Chordata; Mammalia; Primates; Hominidae
Description: processed transcript
Source: RNAcentral